GAUGAACGCUGGCGGCGUGCCUAAUACAUGCAAGUCGAGCGAACAGACGAGGAGCUUGCUCCUCUGACGUUAACGGCGGACGGGUGAGUAACACGUGGAUAACCUACCUAUAAGACUGGGAUAACUUCGGGAAACCGGAGCUAAUACCGGAUAAUAUAUUCAACCGCAUGGUUCAAUAGUGAAAGACGGUUUUGCUGUCACUUAUAGAUGGAUCCGCGCCGCAUUAGCUAGUUGGUAAGGUAACGGCUUACCAAGGCGACGAUGCGUAGCCGACCUGAGAGGGUGAUCGGCCCCACUGGAACUGAGACACGGUCCAGACUCCUAGGGGAGGCAGCAGUAGGGAAUCUUCCGCAAUGGGCGAAAGCCUGACGGAGCAACGCCGCGUGAGUGAUGAAGGUCCUCGGAUCGUAAAACUCUGUUAUUAGGGAAGAACAAAUGUGUAAGUAACUAUGCACGUCUUGACGGUACCUAAUCAGAAAGCCACGGCUAACUACGUG
RNAcentral lists this ribosomal RNA (497 nucleotides) under uncultured bacterium. RNAcentral describes it as "partial 16S ribosomal RNA". It matches the Rfam family "Bacterial small subunit ribosomal RNA", at positions 28 to 507 of the family's 1533-position model. The record is from RNAcentral.